AGGGUGGAUGAGGACGACAUCGUCUCACACAUCCUGGCCGGGCUCGAAGAAGACUUCGAUCUGGUGGUGUCUGCCAUGUGUUCCUGGGUGGAGCCGGUCACCGUGGCUGAGCUGUUCUCACAGCUGCUUAGCUUCGAAA
Molecule: non-coding RNA, 139 nt
Organism: Triticum urartu
Lineage: Eukaryota; Viridiplantae; Streptophyta; Magnoliopsida; Poales; Poaceae
Source: Rfam